RNAcentral lists this ribosomal RNA (440 nucleotides) under uncultured bacterium. Its description in RNAcentral is "SSU rRNA". It matches the Rfam family "Bacterial small subunit ribosomal RNA", at positions 370 to 808 of the family's 1533-position model. The record is from RNAcentral.
UAUGGGCGCAGGCCUGAACCAGCCAGUAGCGUGAAGGAUGACUGCCCUAUGGGUUGUAAACUUCUUUUAUAAAGGAAUAAAGUCGGGUAUGUAUACCCGUUUGCAUGUACUUUAUGAAUAAGGAUCGGCUAACUCCGUGCCAGCAGCCGCGGUAAUACGGAGGAUCCGAGCGUUAUCCGGAUUUAUUGGGUUUAAAGGGAGCGUAGGUGGAUUGUUAAGUCAGUUGUGAAAGUUUGCGGCUCAACCGUAAAAUUGCAGUUGAAACUGGCAGUCUUGAGUACAGUAGAGGUGGGCGGAAUUCGUGGUGUAGCGGUGAAAUGCUUAGAUAUCACGAAGAACUCCGAUUGCGAAGGCAGCUCACUAGACUGUUACUGACACUGAUGCUCGAAAGUGUGGGUAUCAAACAGGAUUAGAUACCCUGGUAGUCCAAGGGCGAAUUC